GCCUCUCGCCUCUCGCCCUACAGGAGGCACCCUACAGAACCCAACCAAAAAGCGCCGGCGGCAAACAGAACCCAACCCAAAGCGCCGGCGGCAAGCGAAGAGAAAGCGCCGGCACUAAUCCGACGAUGGACGCGUCGGCCGGCGGCGGCGGCAACUCCCUGCCGACCACUGGCGCGGACGGGUCGAAGCGCCGCGUCUGCUACUUCUACGACGCGGAGGUGGGCAACUACUACUACGGGCAGGGCCACCCGAUGAAGCCGCACCGCAUCCGCAUGACCCACGCGCUGCUCGGCCGCUACGGCCUCCUCGACCAGAUGCAAGUGUUCCGCCCUCACCCUGCCCGCGACCGCGACCUCUGCCGCUUCCACGCCGACGAUUACGUCUCCUUCCUCCGGUCCGUCACCCCCGAAACGCAGCAGGACCAGAUCCGCGCGCUCAAGCGCUUCAACGUCGGCGAGGACUGCCCCGUCUUCGACGGUCUCUACAGUUUCUGUCAGACGUACGCGGGGGGCUCUGUUGGCGGCGCCGUCAAGCUCAACCAUGGCCAUGAUAUCGCCAUCAACUGGGCCGGCGGACUCCACCACGCCAAGAAGUGCGAGGCCUCCGGGUUUUGCUAUGUUAAUGACAUUGUCCUCGCCAUCCUCGAGCUCCUCAAGUACCACCAGCGCGUUCUGUACGUGGACAUUGAUAUCCACCACGGGGACGGCGUGGAGGAGGCUUUUUAUACCACAGACCGGGUGAUGACAGUCUCAUUCCACAAGUUUGGAGAUUAUUUCCCUGGGACAGGGGACAUUCGUGAUGUUGGGCACUCAAAGGGUAAAUAUUACUCCCUGAAUGUUCCCCUGGACGAUGGUAUUGAUGAUGAGAGCUACCAGUCGUUGUUCAAGCCAAUAAUGGGCAAGGUGAUGGAGGUCUUCAACCCUGGUGCAGUCGUGCUCCAGUGUGGUGCGGAUUCAUUGUCGGGUGACAGGUUGGGCUGUUUCAACCUCUCUAUUAAGGGUCACGCAGAAUGUGUAAGAUUUAUGAGGUCCUUCAACGUCCCGCUGUUGCUGCUUGGUGGUGGUGGGUAUACCAUAAGAAACGUUGCACGGUGUUGGUGCUACGAGGUAUGUAUUCCUUACGGGGAAAACACACAUUUGUUAUGCCUUUCCAGUUUCCACUUUUCUGUUGUUUGUUAUUCCAUUAAUUCCAAUAAACCUUGUGUUCUGUCAGAGGUCAUCUAUAGGCAUCGGACAGUUAGGGGCAAAAUGCCAAAGAUUUUCUUUCCUUCAAUAUUUUGCAUUGUUUUCAUGAAAUAGGAUCAUGAUUAAUUAUUGAUUAGGAGGAUUCUGUAAAACAAGGAUAGCUUGCUUAGAUGUUAAGUAAGCCUCUCCAUGACAAUUAUCUUGCUUGGCCUCAACGGCCAUCUUUCACGUCUCUCUCGCUCGCCUACUCCCUGCGCUGCUGGGGGUACACACUCCGACCAUCGAUCUCCAGCCCUUAGUAACCAGGUUCUUGGAUCGACGGGGUCGAGAAACAAGAACGUGGUAGGUGGUACAAUACUUAUUUUUUUAACACUACGGAGACAAGAUUGUUCCUGCGUUCCCAGAACAAAGAACAUGGACAAGUUUUAGAUUCCUGGUUUCAAAGCUCCAACUUGCAUAACUUAUGCAACCGCGGUAGGAUUCUAUAUCCUAUCAAUCUAGUAUUGGAGGUGCUGGUGACGAUGACUCUGAGAAGCAACGUCAAUCCUACCACCGUGAAGGGCCCAACGGAUGUCAUUAUGUAGCUGGCCAAUUUCUCCACCCUCAUGUCGUCACUAGAGCACCGACACACGUCUUCCUCUAUGGGCGCCAUGUACCUAGGUUUCCCCUAUGGGAUGUUCUCAUUCUUCUCCACUACCACUGUUGUGCCAUCCUCCACCACCGUGCCCACCGCUCUUAGCUGAAUCGUCCUGUGUACUGCGACAGCCACUGCUAUCCCAUCUGCCUCUCUUCCCAUCUUAGCAGAUCAACUUUCCCUCCCCGCCAUCUCUGCAGCUAACAUUUCUAUAAGGGCCGUCGUUCCCAUCUACAUGUGUGCCCUCCACUGUUGUCGCUAUCGGCGUGGUCGUCUCCAUGACAUGUUCCAUGUGGGGCUGCUCGAGCCGUUUUGUGGGGACCCCCGAUGACUCAGGCACCCAUGCCGCCUAUACAGGAUAGCCAACUACUUCCUAAGCCAUAUCGUGUUUUGCGGGCCCAACUAUGCUGGGUGUCUGGCACGUCCUCGUUCAGUUGCGUGGCCUGCCCAACGAUGACACUGUUGAAGUGUAUAAGUGGAUUGUCUACCUUCUACUAUCAACUUAAGCUUUUGGGUUCAACUGGUUAGUGCGUCCAUUCUAACAUGGUAUCAAAGCCAGAGGUUUCGCGUUCGAAUCCUGGCGGAGGCUUUAUUUGUGCCUCCACCCAUUUAUUUCCACGUUUGCGCCUUUCUCUCUGGCUGCAUGUGAGUGGGGGUGUUGAAGUAUAUAAGUGGAUUGGCUAUCUUUUCCCAUCAGUUUAAGCUUUUGGGUUGAACUGGUUAGUGCGUCCAUUCUAACAGACACCACUUGAGAGUGCUAAUAAUUCAAGGACCUCUACCCUAAUGUCCAACUCGAGGAUGAGCUGCUUAAGGAGGUGGGGAGAUGUUAUGGUCAGCGUUACCAAAUAUUUUUCUUCAUCAAAUAUUUUGCAUUGUUUUCAUAAAAUAGGAUCUUGAUUGAUUCUUGAUUACGAGGUUUUCAUAAAAAUAAGGAUAGCUUGCUUAGAGAUCAAGUAAGCCUUUCUAUAUAAGGAGAGAUUUCACACGCCUAUUCCCUGUGUACGACCACAACUCCUCUGCCGUCGAAGACAGGAGUUGCCCUUGGUCAUGAGCUCACUGACAAGAUGCCACCUAAUGAGUACUAUGAGUAUUUUGGUCCAGAUUACACUCUACAUGUCGCUCCAAGUAACAUGGAGAAUAAAAACACACGGCAUCAAUUGGAUGACAUAAAAUCAAAACUUCUAGAUAAUCUUUCAAAACUCCGACAUGCUCCUAGUGUUCAGUUUCAAGAGCGACCUCCUGAGGCUGAGUUACCUGAGCAAGAUGAAGACAAAGAGAAUCCUGAUGAAAGACAUGAUGCUGAUUCUGAUGUGGAGAUGAAUGAUGCCAAACCUUUGCAGGACUCUGGAAGGAUGUCAAUAGUGUAGCUGCAGAACAUUCUAGAGGCACUGGACCUGUGGCUGAUGGAGUUGGUUCCUCGAAACAAACCUUUCCGAAUGCCACUAGUCGAAUGGCCAUAGAUGAACCAAACGCUCUUGAGAGUUGAGCAAGAGGGUUCAAACAAAUUGCAGGACCAACCAUCGAUGCACCUCAAGUAGCUAAUGUCAUCUGUAGCCUGUCGAUUCUUUUGCGCAAAUUCAUUAACUGUAGGCAAGCCAUGCGUGGACUGAAGCAGGGAGCAGAAGCAAGUGCUCGACCAAGAAGUUGUGCAUCUGAAAUCUAUAUUUUUUGCGCGUCAUAUUUGUAUUACCGACAGUUGCAAACGAUGGUUUAAUCAUGAAAAAUUUGUCUUUCC
RNA transcript from Zea mays, 3553 nucleotides. It is a transcript of the gene named histone deacetylase pseudogene, with no coding region annotated. NCBI's taxonomy places the organism in Eukaryota, Viridiplantae, Streptophyta, Magnoliopsida, Poales, Poaceae. The transcript is spliced from 6 exons. The record is from RefSeq and is marked validated.